GAUGAACGCUGGCGGCGUGCCUAAUACAUGCAAGUCGAGCGAACAGACGAGGAGCUUGCUCCUCUGACGUUAGCGGCGGACGGGUGAGUAACACGUGGAUAACCUACCUAUAAGACUGGGAUAACUUCGGGAAACCGGAGCUAAUACCGGAUAAUAUAUUGAACCGCAUGGUUCAAUAGUGAAAGACGGUUUUGCUUUCCCUUAUAGAUGGAUCCGCGCCGCAUUAGCUAGUUGGUAAGGUAACGGCUUUCCAAGGCAACGAUGCGUAGACGACCUGAGAGGGUGAUCGGCCACACUGGAACUGAGACACGGUCCAGACUCCUACGGGAGGCAGCAGUAGGGAAUCUUCCGCAAUGGGCGAAAGCCUGACGGAGCAACGCCGCGUGAGUGAUGAAGGUCUUCGGAUCGUAAAACUCUGUUAUUAGGGAAGAACAAAUGUGUAAGUAACUAUGCACGUCUUGACGGUACCUAAUCAGAAAGCCACGGCUAACUACGUG
RNAcentral lists this ribosomal RNA (497 nucleotides) under uncultured bacterium. RNAcentral's name for it is "partial 16S ribosomal RNA". It matches the Rfam family "Bacterial small subunit ribosomal RNA", at positions 28 to 507 of the family's 1533-position model. The record is from RNAcentral.